This 120-nucleotide ribosomal RNA is filed under the name Streptomyces virginiae. Its description in RNAcentral is "partial 16S rRNA". It matches the Rfam family "Bacterial small subunit ribosomal RNA", at positions 162 to 283 of the family's 1533-position model. Lineage: Bacteria; Bacillati; Actinomycetota; Actinomycetes; Kitasatosporales; Streptomycetaceae. The record is from RNAcentral.
UCUAAUACCGGAUACCACUCCUGCCUGCAUGGGCGGGGGUUGAAAGCUCCGGCGGUGAAGGAUGAGCCCGCGGCCUAUCAGCUUGUUGGUGGGGUAAUGGCCUACCAAGGCGACGACGGG